GGGGCUAUAGCUCAGUUGGGAGAGCACCUGAUUUGCAUUCAGGGGGUCGUCGGUUCGAACCCGGCUAGCUCCA
Molecule: transfer RNA, 73 nt
Filed under: Fidelibacterota bacterium
Lineage: Bacteria; Pseudomonadati; Fidelibacterota
Description: tRNA-Ala
Rfam family: tRNA
About the family: Transfer RNA (tRNA) molecules are approximately 80 nucleotides in length. Their secondary structure includes four short double-helical elements and three loops (D, anti-codon, and T loops).
Source: RNAcentral